Molecule: long non-coding RNA, 4408 nt
Filed under: Lynx pardinus (Iberian lynx)
Lineage: Eukaryota; Metazoa; Chordata; Mammalia; Carnivora; Felidae
Source: RNAcentral
CUUACUACUCUCUACGUGUCCAAGAGUUAUCUGCAAUGUUGAUCUAAAAUACAAAACAAUUGCCCAGAAGUCAGGUAAGAGCAAUGCUGAAACUCCAUACUAUGGAAACAAGGUAUCUAGCUGGAUGCAGCUGGUAAAUUCAGUCCCAUGGACCUUUGGGGUUUAUUUUCCUUAGCAGCUGACACCAUGUGUCUUUUGCAUCCCUGGUGGUGCUUGGUGCUUCUGCCCGUCUGGGCUCAUUGAGAAUAGGGAUUAAGAUAUGAUUUUAGGGAAUCUCAGAUGGGCUGGCGUUCCCUGUGCAUGUAUGAGCUGUUACUAUAAAGUCAUGUGACUGGCAUUUUAACAAAGGCUUUAGAGCUUCUAUAUCCCAGUGUAUGUUGUCUCCCUUGAGUGGCCCCAGCAAGAUACCACAUAGUUGUCUAAUGAUGUUGCCAUUGGCAAAAACAUUUCUGGAACUCUCCUCAAAGUCUAGAAACGUCUAGAAAUAUAGACUCCUAAAAUGUUAGAAUUGGAAGGGACCUUAAAAGUCAUCUAUUCCAACCUCCUCCUCUUACUGAGGCAGAAGCUAAGAUUUGGAAUGGUGACUCACUGAUUACUAGGGAUUUAUUACAUCACCUUCUUUUGAUUCCUCCUGGGAGAUUUGCCCCUUCUUCUCUGGACAAAUCUUUAAUCUUUUGUGGUUAUAGAAGGGAGAAUUUUAAGUUUGAAACCAGUCAGAGGCUAUUUGAAGCCUCUGGAAGAGAAGGUAGGUCAAGAGGGUUUGGAGUCAUAGAUGAGGUACAGCCAUAAAGCAGCUAUUUUCUUCUGCUCCUAAACAGUUCCCAGAGAGACGUUCCAGAGAUGUCUUAAGCAUUCUGGUCAUCAUGGAGAUAUGUGGAGGCUCCUCAGUGACUACGUUGGUGGGAGUGUCACUCGAAUGUAUGUGUUCUGUGUGUCUGUGUGCGUGCACACAUGCAAAUGUAUGUUUAAACAUGCACCAAUCUCAUUACUUUAUAUUCACACCACUUCAGUUCUAGGCCCUGCCAGCAACAUGUCUCCAAAGGCUGCUGGAGGGUUGGUACCCAAGACAGAAGAGCUGGUGCUGGUGCUGGUCUGCGGAGUAAGAGGAGGGUGACUUAAUGCCCUUAGAGAAAUCAUCAGUUCCUGCCAUUUCACACAGUUCCCCUUGGUUCGGAGUACAUAAUAUCGGAAGGCUAGUCUCGUUGGUAGUAGCAAAGACACUUAUUUUUCCACUUGCCACCUUUUUCUAUAUCUCCAGUAAUUUGAAAAACAUUUUGGUUGGAACUGAUUUUUGUUUUUGGCAAAAAGAUAAAUAUUUUUAAUAGAAAAAGAUAUAUAUUUUAAAUAUUUCCCCCAAAGUACUACUUUCAUUUUAAGAAAUUGCAUAGCAGUAGCAACAAAUUUUAGUUUCAGGUGCAGAGUGAAAAGCUACUUCCUGUUAAGUGAACAUUCCAGACGCUGGAUCCAACUUACUGACUUUCCCCUUUGCACCUACUGUUGUGCCUGGAAUGGUAUCAACAAUUGUUGUUUUCCAAACUUCCAGCUGAGCAGUAGCCCUUCACACAGAGGCAAAGUGGUUUAGGUUAAGGAGCGACAAGGCUUCACCUCUGAUCUGCUCGGCUUUGGAGGAGGAAAAAACCACUAAGGUAUUAUCUGUAUUUUAAAAUGCUUCCCUUACUUAACUAAAACCUGAACACUUUUUGCUUCUGAAAGAAUUCUGUGUCCUGUAGCUCGCUUGCUUGCUUGUGAAGUUUGUCACAAAUGGAGUUGUCAAUGUGAAUUACUUGGAGACGGAGAAAGACAAGAAAAGGAAAAUAGAGCGAUGGGAGGGUUUGUGGGCUAGAAUGAGAGAAAUACCAUUUCACAAAACAAACAUUUCUCAUGAAUCAUUGGAAUCUGAUUCACCCUACAAAUUUCCCAUGCCCUACUAACUCUGUUCUUUGUGUAUAUGCAUUCUGUGUUUUUUAUUAAAGGGGAAGUUCUGAGAGGUUGGAGGAUCAAGGUCAUUCUGAUGGGAAGUCCAAGAAAUGCGGUGCCCUGGGAAGGGGGAGCUCAGCCCUUUUCCAUAGAGUGGGAGAGACACUUUGGGAACAUGCUCAUGACCCGUUGAUUGUAUCUGCUGGAAGAAGUCAUCUGGGCCUGUUGGGUUAGUGUCAAAUCAGGCGAUUAAGCAUCCAGCCCUUGGCCCCUUUCGUAUAAUUGCCUCUUUUUAAAAGGUUAAUUCGCCUUGGCUGAAGCUUCCCAGGAAAACCCUUUGUAAGUGGCUUCAUUUAUUUUUUUAAUUUAAUUUUUAGACUUUUGUCUGGAGGAAGAACUGGUGAUGAAUGCCUUCUGUUUUUGUUUUGUUUUUUUCUCAUUUUUCCUAAAAGAAAAAAAUGCCCUUAAGGAUUAAAGCUGCUUAAUUAAUUGCUGUCUGAUUACAAAGUGACAAACUAAGAUGGGAAACUGCCACUGUGCUUGACUGGUGAAGCUGAUGACCGAAGGCUGUGCCGUUCAUUCUUUCUGUUCCAUUCAGACAUUCCUGAGCUUCGUUCGAACUUGUGCCAACCCUGUGCUGGGUCAUGGAGAUACAAGGAUGGAAAGGACAGUCCCUGCUCCUAAGAAGCUCAGCCGCUAAUGGAAUGUAUUUGAAGGUAUAUGUGGCUGGAGAGUUUGUUCAUGCUCGUGUGAAAGGCCACUUCUUCAUAGUGAUGAUCUUGGAUGGAGUCAUUUGAGAUACUGUCCAGCACCUGACAGGCUGCACUGAACAUUUUAGACACCCCCAUCAGUAUUUCUCAAUUUGAUUGCAAUACUGCUUUCCAUUUCCUAAUUUUAUCAGAGGAGAAUGAAUUUUCUCCUCCAGUGAUAUAGGACAAUAAUUUCUCUUCAGGAGCUGCUUUUACAUAACCUCCAGGAAAUGAGGCAGGGUGUGGAUCAUUGACAUGGUCAGAGGAGGCCCACAUCCCACCUUACUGAUCUCCUAACCUCUCUCCCAACCAGACCUCUCACCAGAGCUGGCAGCAACUUUGGAUUCCUUUCCUUUUUCCUGCCUGGCUUUUCAUUGAGAUGGAAAGCCAACAGGAGAGGAAGGAAAGAAAAACUGAAGGCUGGAUUAUAAUCAUAAAAUGCUGUAGCUGGAAAGGGCAUGGAAAUAACUCAGAUCAAACUCACCCAUCUGCUUCCCCUUUUUUUUUUCCUAAUAAGGAACUUGAGGUCCAGUGCUUUAUGCCCUGUUGUCACUGUAGUUUCCUAGGAUCUAAAUAAUCUUUUUAAGUUACACACACACACACACAAUUUGCUAACGAGGAGGACACCCAAAUGAUAUAGGAAACUUUUUGUUUUAAUAGCUUUUUUCUUUUAAAAUUUUUCAGAAUUAAAAUAUGCCUCUGUCCCCUGAAUACAUACCCAGAUAGGGGAAACCCCAUAAUGUGACUAAUGUGAAUAUGGAAUCUUGGGAAGUGAUAUAUUUUGAUUGGAAUAGUCAUCAUUUUAACCACCAAGGGUUAAAACCAUGCCAGCCCUUCAUUUUUCUUUGAAAAAAUCAAGAACUCCUUAGGGACUUAAAUCUUUCUCAGCCAGCCUUUUCCCCCAUCAACCAAAAGAGUGGUAUUCAGCCUGGUUUUUAGAAGUGAACAUAGUUGCUUAUAAAUUCUUGUGAGUUAGUGACAAAGCAGGUAUGUUUUUUUGGGUCAGGGAGAUUCUAGGGAAAGCUGCUGUUGAAUAGAUUUUGCUCCAAAGAUGAUAUAGAAAAUGCAUCUUUACACGUGAUUGUUACCCACUGUAGCUUUCUGAAGAAGAUCGUUCUAUAGGAAAAAGAGACAUAAGCAGAGGUCACAACCAGUUUAGAGAUCGGUUAAAUUGGAUGAAGAAAAAGUGCCAAGACUGAAUGUGCACAUUGUUCUAUGUAUUAUCAGUAUUUUUAUUCUUCCUAAGAAAAAUAUUUACACACUUUGCUUUGUGAGUAAAUGCUUCCUUAAUGUCUUGUUAAUAAGCGUGGCAGGCUCCCUCUCUACCUUUUCUGGUGUCUUAAAUCAACUGGUUGGACAGAGCUGAGCUAAGGCCAGGCUUAUUCAUCUUCCUUCCCUCUCAUUUAAUAAGAGGUAAAAACAGGCAAUGCACUCCUCAAAGAUUAAAUUAUUAGAGCUCAAGAGAAGCUUUUGGGCCCUGGGUCUGGCCCUUAGCCUGCAGCAGAACACUUCAAUUCCUAAGGAGAGAAUGUAUAACUGUGUGAGGGAAAAAAAUUAUCUUAAAUGCCAUCUAAUGGUUUUAUUGUUACUCUCAAUUUGUACAGACACUGUUGUCCUUAGGGCCCUUCCCCUUCCCACCUACAAACAGAAAAUGGGAUGCAUAUUGGUUUUCUACCUGCUGUCUUCACUGGAAUUGGAGAAGGGGCCUGGAUCCUUGUGGACCGCCACUGCGGGCUGCCUCC